RNAcentral lists this transfer RNA (69 nucleotides) under Rattus norvegicus (Norway rat). It matches the Rfam family "tRNA". Rfam says of the family: Transfer RNA (tRNA) molecules are approximately 80 nucleotides in length. The record is from Rfam by way of RNAcentral. Lineage: Eukaryota; Metazoa; Chordata; Mammalia; Rodentia; Muridae.
GGAGAUUUAGCUCAGCGGUAGAGCGCUUGCCUAGCAAGCGCGAGGCCCUGGGUUCGGUCCCCAGCUCCA